RNAcentral lists this ribosomal RNA (443 nucleotides) under uncultured bacterium. Its description in RNAcentral is "partial 16S ribosomal RNA". It matches the Rfam family "Bacterial small subunit ribosomal RNA", at positions 338 to 795 of the family's 1533-position model. The record is from RNAcentral.
CCUACGGGAGACAGCAGUGGGGAAUAUUGGGCAAUGGGCGCAAGCCUGACCCAGCAACGCCGCGUGAAGGAAGAAGGCUCUCGGGUUGUAAACUUCUUUUAUCAGGGACGAAGCAAGUGACGGUACCUGAUGAAUAAGCCACGGCUAACUACGUGCCAGCAGCCGCGGUAAUACGUAGGUGGCAAGCGUUAUCCGGAUUUACUGGGUGUAAAGGGCGUGUAGGCGGGAAAGCAAGUCAGAUGUGAAAACCAUGGGCUCAACCUGUGGCCUGCAUUUGAAACUGUUUCCCUUGAGUAUCGGAGAGGUCAUCGGAAUUCCUAGUGUAGCGGUGAAAUGCGUAGAUAUUAGGAAGAACACCAGUGGCGAAGGCGGAUGACUGGACGACAACUGACGGUGAGGCGCGAAAGCGUGGGGAGCAAACAGGAUUAGAUACCCGGGUAGUC